GGAGUUAGCGAAAUUACAAUGUGUGCGAAUCGGCAAAAAAUGCAAAAUAGCCCUUUUACCGUACAUUAUACAGAUACGCGCUCUUUGACUUUUUCGUAGAUCUAAUUGAGAUACACAUGAUUGUCAAUUUUUGUGUCAAUAUGACAAAGAGUUCAGGCAUGACACUCAACAAUGUGUAUUUUCACCUUAGGGGACAAGAAAAAAUUGACUUUUUUCUCCUGCCAUGGGGGGGCGCUCUUUUGGGGAGUAAAAAUUCCUUCACAAAUGUGUUGAUGGCUGGACAUUGCAUCAUCCUAGAAAACUUGGAGGCCAGUGAGGACAAAAAUAAAAAGUUAUAAGACUUUUAAAUAUUUGGAUUUUAGGGUUAUCUUUGGCGCCCCCUAGAACGUAAACCGUGGGGUGCAGCGUCAUGAUUUUUACAACUUUUAAUGGCCAUGGGGUGUAGAUUGGCCUGAGCAAAUUUGGUGCCGGUGGAACGAACGCCUUCGGAGGAGUUAGCGAAAUUCCAAUGUGUGCGGAUCGGCAAAAAAUGCGAAAUAGCCCUUUAACCGUACAUUAUACAGAUACGCGCUCUUUGACUUUUUCGUAGAUCCUAUUGAGAUACACGUGUGUGUCAAUUUUUGUGUCAAUAUGACAAAGCGUUUAGGCGUGACACUCAACAAUGUGUAUUUUCAUGUUAGGGGACAAGAAAAACUUGACUUUUUUCUCCUGCCAUGGGGGGGCGCUCUUUUGGGGAGUAAAAAUUCCUUCACACAUGUGUUGAUGGCUGGACAUAGCAUCAUCCUAGGAAACUUGGAGGCCAGUGAGGACAAAAAUAAAAAGUUAUAAGACUUUUAAGAAUGUGGAUUUUUGGGUUAUCUUUGGCGCCCCCUAGAACAUAAACCGUGGGGUGCAGCGUCAUGAUUUGUACAACUUUUAAUGGCCAUGGGGUGUAGAUUGGCCUGAGCAAAUUUGGUGCCGGUGGAACGAAAGCCUUCGGAGGAGUUAGCGAAAUUCCAAUGUGUGCGGAUCGGCAAAAAAUGCGAAAUAGCCCUUUAACCGUACAUUUGACAGAUACGCCCGCACUGACUUUUUUGUAGAUCUUAUUGAGAUACAUGUGUGUGUCAAUUUUUGUGUCAUUUUGACAAAGCGUACAGGCGUCAGGUGAGUUUUCACCAUAGGGGGCGCUAUGGAGCCAUUUUUCAUUUUUUUGUUUGGGCGACUUCAGAAUAUCAAAUUUUUCACCAGGCCCGGUCGUCCUCCAAAUUUCCUGAGUUUUCGCCAGUGGGAAGUGGGCCAUUUUCCAGUUUAAAGCGGAGGAAAAAUAACGAAAGAAGAAUCCAUCAGGAACAAGAGGGCUCUCGCAGCUGCUUAGCAGCUACGCUCGGGCCCUAAUAAUAAUAACUAGGGCCCCGUUGGGGCACUGGCGGGCCCGAGCCGUGUCGCGCCGCCCCCAACACGACCGCCUCUCCCUACCGAUCGCGUCACACUCAAGGUCCAAAGAUGGUGUGCGCACUUGUCUGUGGUCAUUUACAAUUAUAAUGAAUGGGAGGCGCAGUUUCUACCAAAAUGCUCGCCGCAGACAAACUACAUGUCCUAUUUGAAAAGGACUGGACCAUGAGUGAGGGCACAAACACAGCUAGGAUAUAUCCAAAUGGCAAGUUGCUCCUCCUUUCGGUUUUGCCGAGAGAGCGAUGUGUUUGAGUCAUUGAGCGAUGGGCAGGAAAAACUUGACUUUUUCUCCUGCCAUGGGGGGGCGCUCUUUUAGGGAGUAAAAAUUCCUUCACUAAUGUGUUGAUGGCUAGACAUUGCAUCAUCCUAGAAAACUUGGAGGCCAGUGAGGACAAAAAUAAAAAGUUAUGACUUUUAAGAAUGUGGAUUUUUGGGUUAUCUUUGGUGCCCCCUAGAACAUAAACCGUGGGGUGCAUCGUCAUGAUUUUUACAACUUUGAAUGGCCAUGGGGUGUAGAUUGGCCUGAGUAAAUUUGGUGUCAGUGGAACGAAAGCUUUAGGAGGAGUUAGCCACAUUCCAAUGUGUGCGAAUCGACCAAAAAUGCGAAAUAGCCCUUUAACCGUACAUUUUAUAGAUACGCGCCCAUUGACUAUUUCGUAGAUCUUAUUGAGAAACACGUGAUUGUCAAAGUUUGUUUCAAUAUGACAAAGCGUACAGGCGUGACACUCAAUAAUGUGAAUUUUCACCUUAGGGGGGAAGAAAAACUGGACUUUUUUCUCCUGCCAUGGGGGGGCGCUCUUUUGGGGAGUAAAAAUUCCUUCACAAAUGUGUUGAUGGCUAGACAUUGCAUCAUCCUAGAAAACUUGGAGGCCAGUGAGGACAAAAAUAAAAAGUUAUACGACUUUUAAGAAUGUGGAUUUCUGGGUUAUCUUUGGCGCCCCCUAGAACGUAAACCGUGGGAUGCAGCGUCAUGAUUUGUACAACUUUUAAUGGCCAUGGGGUGUAGAUUGGCCUGAGCAAAUUUGGUGCUGGUGGAACGAAAGCCUUCGGAGGAGUUAGCGAAAUUCCAAUGUGUGCGGAUCGGCAAAAAAUGCGAAAUAGCCCUUUAACCGUACAUUUGACAGAUACGCGCGCAUUGACUUUUUCGUAGAUCUUAUUGAGAUACAUGUUUGUGUCAAUUUUUGUGUCAUUUUGACAAAGCGUACAGGUGUUACACUCAACAAUGUGUAUUUUCACCUUAGGGGACAAGAAAAAAUUGACUUUUUUCUCCUGCCAUGGGGUGGCGCUCUUUUGGGGAGUAAAAAUUCCUUCACAAAUGUGUUGAUGGCUGGACAUUGCAUCAUCCUAGAAAACUUGGAGGCCAGUGAGGGCAAAAAUAAAAAGUUAUAAGACUUUUAAAUAUGUGGAUCUUAGGGUUAUCUUUGGCGCCCCCUAGAACCUAAAGCUUGGGGUGCAGCGUCAUGAUUUGAAUAACUUUUAAUGGCCAUGGGGUGUAGAUUGGCCUGAGCAAAUGUGGUGCCGGUGGAACGAAAGCCUUCGGAGGAGUUAGCGAAAUUCCAAUGUGUGCGGAUCGGCAAAAAAUGCGAAAUAACCCUUUAACCGUACAUUUGACAGAUACGCCCGCACUGACUUUUUUGUAGAUCUUACUGAGAUACAUGUGUGUGUCAAUUUUUGUGUCAUUUUGACAAAGCGUACAGGCGUGACAGUCAAUAGUGUGAAUUUUCACCUUAGGGGGCGCUAUGGAGCCAUUUUGCAUUUUCUUGUUUGGGCGACUUCGGAAUAUCAAAUUUUUCACCAGGCCCGGUCGUCCUGCCAAUUUUCAUGAGUUUUCGCGGGUGGGAAGUGGGCCAUUUUCCAGUUCAAAGGGGAGGAAAAAUAACUAGGACCCAGUUGGGGCACUGGCGGGCCCGAGCCGUGUCCGUCCCCCCCCCCCCCCCCCCAACGUGCUGCCUUCCCGUCCCAUUUGUGUCCUCUGGCCAUCGCCC
This 3416-nucleotide long non-coding RNA is filed under the name Xyrichtys novacula (pearly razorfish). The record is from RNAcentral. Lineage: Eukaryota; Metazoa; Chordata; Actinopteri; Labriformes; Labridae.